GGGAGCGCCAAGCCCGUGAAUAUUUGGAAAAACAUCGGAUCAGAGAGCUGCUGAGCUAUCUCACCAGCGCCCUCGUCUUUACCCGGCCGGAAAAACCAAGAGAAUAUUUAAUAUCUCUACUGGAACGUCUAAGACUUGCCAAAAUAACAGGAGUAGCUUUUCCUGUCUUUAUGGAUAAUUCUAAUAUUGGGGCCAUGUUUGAGAUGAUGGACACCUCAAACAGAGGCACCAUCUCAUUUGUACAGUAUAAAGAAGCCCUAAAAACCCUGGGUUUGUGUACUGCAGAUGAAGUUUUAGAAGAUGAUGGACACGUAAUAACUUUGGAUAAAUUCAAGGAUGAAGUGAACACGAGGACUCAGGAAAUAUGGUCAGCAUUUUAGUAACACCAUAAAUCCAAGAAAAUAAACGAUUCUAUAAAGU
Molecule: long non-coding RNA, 420 nt
Organism: Carlito syrichta (Philippine tarsier)
Lineage: Eukaryota; Metazoa; Chordata; Mammalia; Primates; Tarsiidae
Exons: 4
Source: RefSeq, a predicted model, not a curated record